This 497-nucleotide ribosomal RNA is filed under the name uncultured bacterium. Its description in RNAcentral is "partial 16S ribosomal RNA". It matches the Rfam family "Bacterial small subunit ribosomal RNA", at positions 28 to 507 of the family's 1533-position model. The record is from RNAcentral.
GAUGAACGCUGGCGGCGUGCCUAAUACAUGCAAGUCGAGCGAACAGACGAGGAGCUUGCUCCUCUGACGUUAGCGGCGGACGGGUGAGUAACACGUGGAUAACCUACCUAUAAGACUGGGAUAACUUCGGGAAACCGGAGCUAAUACCGGAUAAUAUAUUGAACCGCAUGGUUCAAUAGUGAAAGACGGUUUUGCUGUCACUUAUCGAUGGAUCCGCGCCGCAUUAGCUAGUUGGUAAGGUAACGGCUUACCAAGGCAACGAUGCGUAGCCGACCUGAGAGGGUGAUCGGCCACACUGGAACUGAGACACGGUCCAGACUCCUACGGGAGGCAGCAGUAGGGAAUCUUCCGCAAAGGGCGAAAGCCUGACGGAGCAACGCCGCGUGAGUGAUGAAGGUCUUCGGAUCGUAAAACUCUGUUAUUAGGGAAGAACAAAUGUGUAAGUAACUAUGCACGUCUUGACGGUACCUAAUCAGAAAGCCACGGCUAACUACGUG